CGUCUUCUGGAUUUUUCUGUUUGUUUCCGCCGGUCUCUCACACAUCUCAAUUCUAUUGUUCUGCAACUCACCCUUUCUCGCUAUCCCUUUUUGCCACCGCUCCGAUUCCGCCUGUGUUGACAGCCUUCAAACUAUAGAAAUCAUCAUUGAUCAAGCUUCUAUUUCAACUGUGGCCUGUUAAUUUUUGUCUUCAUCUGGCUGAUUCCAGCUGUGUUCGCACCCUUCAAAACCUAAAUACCAAAAUUCAGAUCAGUUUUCUGAAGCUUGGGUUUGAUUUUGUUCCGCUUCGUUCUGCUCCUCGCCUUCCUGUUUAUUUGCCAAGAAAUAUUGAAUGUACCCAUAACUUGCCUUCCUCUUUCGGUUUCCAACUUUAAAUUUUAAGACCAAGUCCCUCACCGGACGAGGAUCUAGAUCCGACCGACAAACGUUGGAGUAUUUAACAGAUAGGCAACUAGCUUUCAGAUAUAAGGAGAGGAAACUAAGGUAUCCAAAUUACCUAGAAACAGAGGUCUAACGGUUUCAAACCCAAGAACAGAAGCAACUCUGUGUGCAUCACCCACCCAAGAACAGAAGCAGCUAUGUGGGCAUCACCUUGGAAACUGUGGGUGGCAUCUGUGCAGCCAUCAAAUCGUUUAUAAACAACCAGAAGACUAUCCAAAACAUGCUUUUAUCUGAGUGUAAUACACGUGUUGCUCAUCGUGGAAGGGAAGAAACAUGGAAAAGCGGGCUCUUCCAUUUGCUUCCACAGAUUUCUCGAGCUCUCUCUCAAGCUCCGAAUCGCUGGCCUCCGCAAGAAGGAAAUCGCCAAUUCGAAAGCUUGGUUUCCUGCUUUCUCACUAGAGAUCUCUGCCAUGGCUGCUCCACCAAACUUGCGUCCGCUCUUUCGAACCAGCAUACCCUUACUGGAAUUUUAUGAUUUGGGAUAGUGGCGAUUUGAAACCGUUAACUGGGAUGAGAAUUAGAGUGAUUUGAAAACGGAGAGCAAGGAAUUGCAGGUGGUGUUCUGGUUUGUCAUUCCUUCUCAUCACUUCUACAAGAGGUUACGUAGGAGAGGAUGGAGGUGAGAAAUACAAUUGGGAAAGAUAUGCUGAGAGGUUUACAAAACACCUUUGACGCUGUCGGUUUUGUACAAGAGCAGAUGUGACAAUUGCCUUUAUGAGAUCACUGAAAGGGCAUCUGCUGAUAGAUGUGAGGAGAAGAAAAUGGAGCUAAACAGGGCAGUUGUCAAGAUGGAGCAAGAAGGUGAUGUUGAUGCGCACUUCAGGAUCGUGUUGAUCACAUGCAAUUAGAUCUUGAUGGGCUUGUGAAAACUCUCAAUGAGCACUGCAAGAAGUAUGGACUACGCAGAAAGCCUACAACAUUAACUGAGCUUCCCUUUGAAGGAGCUGCUGACUGGGAUGAGGAUUGGGAUAAGUUUGAAGACAAAUGUAUGCCAAAAAUGAGUUACUAUAGUUUCUUUGUCGUCUGGUUGUGGUUUGCCAACCUGUUCAAGAGUUUUAACUAUUCGAGAAAUCAUCAUCAGUUCAGAAAGAAAAAGCUCCCCCAGUUGAGAGUUCAACAACAGCUUCUUCACCUAAAGUUGAUGUUCAGUCAGAAAAGCCUCAAAAUGCGGAUGACAAGGCCGUUGAAAAUGGAGCAGCAUAUGAUAAAAAUGAAGGCAAGUCAGCAAAAGGUGCUCCGAACAGUCCAUUUGCUAGCAGUACUGUUGGAAGGCCAUCUAGAGAAUUUUCAGAUUCUAACUAUGCAAAGACAACAGACGCAGAUGCCUCACCCAGUAAUAAGGAAUCUCAAAGUGAUGAUCAUGCGGGUGCUGGGUCUAUGUUUUCUGGUGACAAAGGUUCCGAUGAACCAGCAUGGGGGACAUUUGACAAUAAUGAUGACGUUGACUCGGUGUGGGGUUUCAGUGCAGUUAGUACCACCAAGGAUAUGGAUCAGGAGUCACUACUUUUCUGGCCCUGGGGAGUUCGGCCUCAACCCUAUCAGGACUGGGUCAUCACAAGGAGGUGGCUUUUCCCAGAAGAGCCGCCCUUUCACUUUCGACGAUUCUGUUCCUAGCACACCACUCUCAGCCUUCAAUUCAGGGUAUUCACCGCCAAGGUACAAGGAUAGCUCAGAACCUUCAUUUGACACCUUCUCUAGGUUUGAUUCGUUCAGAAUCACACAAGAUACUGGAUUUUUUCCUCAACUAGAGGCACUCGGAAGAUUUGAUUCUAUGCGCAGCAGUAGAGAUUUUGAUCAGGGUCAUGCUUUUCCAACAUUUGAUGACAUCCCAGACCCUUUUGGCUCUUCGGUGCCAUUUAGGUCAUCGCUGGACAAUCAAACUCCAAGAAGAGACUCAGACCCCUUCGGAUCUUCAGGUCCAUUUCGGACGUCACUGGACAGUCAAACUCCGUGAAGAGAAUCAGAUUUUUUCGGGUCUUCAGCAAGCGCCAUUUAGGACAUCAUUUGACAGUCAAACUUCAAGAGGAGACUCAGACGCAUUUGGGUCCUCUCCAUUUAGGACAUCAUUCGACGGUCGAACUCCAAGAAGAGACUCGGACCCAUUUGGGUCUUCUUCAGGGCCUUUCCGGACGUCAUUGGAGACUCAGAGAAAAGACUCUAAUCAUUGGAGUGCAUUUUAGCCAGGUAGUUGCUCUGCUUAUAGCUAAUCCCAAGUGGGAAAUGAAUAAUUAUCAUUCGAGUUAAUUUGUAAAACUCCAUCUAAAUUACAAAAUGAUUACAAAAACUGGGGCAGAGUGUAACAAAUUAAUUAUAAUUGCUAAAAUGUAAAAAUGCUACGAAACUGAGGACUGGGCAGCAAAUUGUUGAAUUAUCAAAAGUAGUGUAAGAAAUGGUAAAAGAGGUCCCAUGAGCAAGGACUGGGAGAAACCAAAGCAGAAGCCGGCCCAGGGCUAUUGGCCAUCCCCAUCCAAUUAUUAAGCAUUGGGCUGCUUAUGACGUCAUGCUGAUGUUGAUGUGAGAAGAACCCACUUGGGACCGCCGGCAGAGACGCUGGCGCCGGAGACAAUAUGCCCGGUGUUAGGGUAAAAUUGGCAAUCCCUGACAAAAUGCCUGAGUCUGUAAUAGCUUAGACUUGUUACAUAUUUACAAUUGUAAUAGUUUUAGUCUAGGGAGGUUUCUCACACUUUCAAUGCGAAGAUGUUACCAAAACGCGAUACUCAUUCAGGUACGUUUGCAUGCAUGCAUCCAACUACAUUCAUCUAUAUCCAUAUGUUAUUGUAUUUGGGUUAGGACUUUUAUUCUUGUGUGUUUUACUUUUCUAGAAUGAAUUAUCCUGUCUUUCAAACCGUGUCAUCAAACUGAUUUUUCAAAAUAUGUUUUCAAACUUAUCUGUUUGCAUGAAGAGUUAUCUGAUUGCAUGUUGGUAGAAUUGUUAAACUACAUGGAUUGCUUUGUAGUACUUAUCAGAUAAAGGGCCGGUACUGUUGAUAUAUAUAUGGGAAGUCAGGAACGUGAAGGGUUGAGCCAUAUAUGCAUGAAAAACUGAUUUUAUUGAAAAAGAAUCUUUAGAAACAUCAGCUUGGGUUUUGUGUGCAUGGAAAAUCAAUUUAAAUAUUGAUGUUAGCUUGUGGUUCGAAUAGCAUGAGGUUUUAAGAGAAAAUAUUGUUUUCAUGCUGAUUUCAUUUGGGUUUUAAAUUGAAUAUCAAUUAUGGAAAUGUGCCUUGUGAUUUUCGUAAUUGAUUGUUUUUCAAACAAACACUUCAUCAUAUAAUCAUUCUGCAUGAUCGAGUUAGUAUCUUGCAAAGUUCGAGGAAAAGGUGAUUGACGGCUGCGUUAGUGCCGUGCCACUUCAACUCGAAGACUGACGAAAGAUCGAGUAGCAAAGCGCGAAGACAAAGCUGCCAACUAGUAUGUGUGUCUAGUUGAAGAGUUCUUCGCCGUGCAGCCUUGAGCUCGAACAUUACAUAGCACUGGGAGUUCUAGCAAAGAUUGAAGCCACUUGCAGCCGACUAAUUCGAGUGUAGACAACCGAGAAGCCUGUUUGAUGCUUGCAGGAGAAAAAAAUGGAGCUACACAGGGCAGUGAUGGAGCAAGAAGGUGAUGCUGAUGCGCACUUCAGAUCUUGAUGGGCUUGUCAAAACUCUCAAUGAGCACUGCAAGAAGUAUGAACUACGCAGAAAGCCUACAACGUUAACUGAGCUGCCCUUUUGAUUCACUUUUGUCAAGGAGCUCACUCUUGACGUGUCAAAUGUCUUGGCACCUCCAAAACAGAAAUAAUCAUCAGUUCAGAAAGAAAAAGCUCCCCCAGUUGAGAGUCCAACAACUGCUUCUUCACUAGCCUCAAAGUACGGAUGCCAAGGUUGUUGAAAAUGGAGCAGCAUAUGAUAAAAAUGAGGAUGAGUCAGCAAAAAGUGCUCCGAACAGUCCAUUUGCCAGCAGUACCGUUGGAAGCCCAUCUAGAGAAUUUUCAGAUUCUAACUAUGGAAAGACAACAGACGCAGAUCCCUCACCCCGUAAUAAGGAAUCUCAAAGGUUCUGAUGAACCAGCAUGGGGGACAUUUGACACUAAUGAUGACGUUGACUCGUUGUGGGGUUUCAAUGCAGUUAGUACCACCAAGGAUAUGGAUCAGGAGAGUAAUAAGGAUCACUACUUUUCUGGCCCUGGGGAGUUCGGCCUCAACCCUAUCAGGACUGGGUCAUCACAAGGAGGUGGCUUUUCCCAGAAGAGCUACCCUUUUACUUUCGACGUUUCUGUUCCUAGCACACCACUCUCAUCCUUCAAUUUGGGGUAUUCACCGCCAAGGUACAAGGAUAGCUCAGAACCUUCAUUUGACACCUUCUCUAGGUUUGAUUAGUUCACAAGCACACAAGAUACUGGAUUUUUCCCUCAACCAGAAACACUCGGAAGAUUUGAUUCUAUGCGCAGCAGUCGAGAUUUUGAUCAGGGUAAUGGUUUUCCAACAUUUGAUGACAUCCCAGACCCUUUUGGCUCUUCGGCGCCAUUUAGGUCAUUGCUGGACAGUCAAACUCCAAGAAGAGACUCAGACCCCUUCGGAUCUUCAGGUCCAUUUCGGACGUCACUGGACAGUCGAACUCCAAGAAGAGAAUCAGAUUUUUUCAGGUCUUCAGCAGCGCCAUGUAGGACAUCAUUGACAGUCAAACUUCAAGAGGAGACUCGGACGCAUUUGGAUCCUCUCCAUUUAGGACAUCAUUCAACGGUCAAACUCCAAGAAGAGACUCGGACCCAUUUGGGUCUUCAGGGCCUUUCCGGACGUCAUUGGAGACUCCGAGAAAAGACUGAUCAUUGGAGUGCAUUUUAGCCAGCGCUGUGCAGCCUUGAGCUCAAACAUGACAUAGCACUGGGAGCUCUGGCAAAGAUUGAAGUUGCUUGCAGCCGACUAAGUUGAGUUCAGACAACCGAGAAGCUCAUUUGAUGCUUGCAGGUAUGCUCCUGAUCUUGGUUCCAGACAGAUGUAUGCUUGUCAAUGAGGUUGAGCAAACGAGACCAUCAGGGAUUUCCAACAUACCGCUGCUGCUGAGAUCUAGUUCUUCUAAAGAGAGAAAACCGGCAUAGGUGAAAGGCAAAUUUUCAAGUUCCCGACAUCCAUACAAGUCGAGACGUUUAAGAUUGGUUAAACGGUAGAUACUUGUUGGGACUACCUUAAGGUGCUUGCAGUCACUAAGGUCUAAAGUUUGAAGCCCAAUUAGAUUUCCAAAUGACGAAGGAAGCUUUUGUACAGCUGUCCUUUGCAAAUUAAGAGACACCAAAUGUUCUAUUGGCUCCAAGAUCUCUGGGAAAUGUUCAAGUUCAGAGCACCCAAAGAGAUUGAGUUCCUUGAGAUAUUUCAACUUCCAAAUGUAGAUUGGUAGACUCACAAGACUGCUGCAACGAACCAAUGAUAAUUUAGUUGUAUCCCUCGGAAGCUCAGAAAACUCGCAAAGAGAUAUGCAACCAUAUCGAUCAAAACAACCAGAGACUUUCAACUUACAACUGUUGCUUGGAAGUUUCUCAAGGUAAAGAGCAAAAACGUAUAUUCAAGUAAGAAAUGUUUUUGUUAGACCACACUGAUUCAGGCAAUUCUUUUAUACCAGCGUAAUGUAAAUCCAAGUAUUUAAUAUUUCCUAGCAUCUCUGGAAGAUACUUGAGGUUGGUGCAGCCUUUAAGAUCAAGAUGAGUAAGCUUGUCAAGAUGUUGAAAACACUCAGGAAUUUCAACCAAAAUUUCACAGCCACAGA
This is a non-coding RNA of Malus domestica (apple), 6177 nucleotides long. The record is from RefSeq and is a predicted model, not a curated record. NCBI's taxonomy places the organism in Eukaryota, Viridiplantae, Streptophyta, Magnoliopsida, Rosales, Rosaceae.